GCGCGGCGGUCCGAGCUCCCCGCCCUGCUGGGCCGGCGUCGUGUUCUCUCUCGUACCGCCAAAGCUCGGCAGUGUCACUCGCGCCCUUGGCCAGCGAGCCCGCUGGAAUUUAGUGACUGGGAUCGACGUCGCCGUUCGCAGUAAAGGGGGGCGCACAGACUCGGGGAAGGUCCCGUUCUCUGGUGAGGAGGUGGCCGCCCGCGCUCUGGAAGCAGGGGGAACCGGCUCCUCCUGGGGAGGAGAGUGCCUGGGGUAAGAAGCUCGGAGAUCAUCCUGACGUCACUGCAACCAUGAUUUCACCAGGCUCGUGCACUGUGAGGUUAUUGCGAUCUGAAAUCUCUGCUGCUGGAAAGAGGAAUUUAUUCACAAGACUCUAAUCUAGGAUGACCCUUCACUCGUACAAACCUGCUGAUGAGUGAUGGCAGUGUCCCCUGAGUCGAGCUCACAACAUGCUCAGGAGCUGCCUUCCUCUGGAGCAUCCUGCAUCACAGCCCCAGGGCCCUGAGUACAAGGUGUAUCUGUGAACCAACAGUGAAGCACACACCAAGGAUCUGCAGGACGCUCCUUCCCUCACUGUGCACAGACCAUGCCGGGGGUGGCACAUGCAGAUGGGCAGUGCUGGAGGGCACAAGCGACUGCAGCGGCUCCUUGCUGCUCCCACACAGACUGUGGAUGCCAUGGGGUUACAGCUGGCCACGUCAGCAGCAGGAACGGAGCUCCGGCGUGUCCCUCUCCAUGGUGCAGGCUGGGUACAGGUGGUCAUUGCUGUGAAGCCAGACUUGUUCACUGCGUAAAGGUGCUUGGCUGGGAGUCCUGGGAACAUCAGGGAACAUGAAGCAAAAGAAGCCUUUCAGCUCAAUAGAUGCUAUAAAUUUCCAAUGUGUUUUUGUUUUAUGCUCCAGGUGAAGGCAGCAGAAGCCAUCAAUCCUCUUCCUGGCUGACCCUGAGCUGCUGGUGCACAGGCAGGCUGGGCAGCAUCUGUCUGGGACACCUCUGAAGGGGUGAAGGUCAGGGAGUGUCUUGGGCUGUUUUGGUUUGUCUUUAAAAAACAAUUUUCCAUGAGCAGAAAAUGUAAGCCACCCAGGGAUAGUUGCAUCUUCCUGGUGUGAUACAUGAGAUACCUCACUGUCAGCCUGUGGAGUGCUCCAACACAGGAGCCAGUGCAAUGUCAGUGUGGGCCCCCCCCGGCGCAGCCAUCCUCUCCCCCCCACCACGCGAUUCAUGGGCUUUUACAUCUCUGCCAUGAGCCUGUUAAUCCAGCACCUGGCUCCAGCCACACCACGGGGACGAUUUAUGGUUCUUACAGAUCAAUUUCAUUAUCCCAAGGGGAAAAUCAGCAUCUUGUUAUGGACAAAAUGACAAUAAAUGAAACGACCAUUAAUUUACGAUCUUGCCACACAGUGGCACUCAAACAGAUUCCCAUUAAUGGUUUGUUAUUAUCACCUCCCAUACUAGGCUAAUAACAGUUCCUGGGAAAAGCAGCACUGAGCCCUGGGAAGGGGCUGCUGCUGGCUGUGUGGGACCCAGGCCUGUCCUGCAGUGGCAGAGCAGCCCCCAACUCCACUGCCCUGUCCCACCGAGUCAGGGGGGAUGCAGCAGUCGUCCUUGGCUCUGGGGCCUGGGCACCCACUGGCAUUCUGGAGGGAGAUACUGCUGUUGUUCUCCGUGGGAUUUGGGAUUCAGAGCCUUUUGCAAAGGCACAGAGAAAAGCAAGGUUGGGCUGGUCACAUCCUCUGGGGACAAGGGACCAGGGUUACAUCUGUACAGGGAUGUACUGGGCAUCAGGGACCCUUCUCCCAUACUCCUCUCCAUCCCCUUGCACUGAGGACAGUACCAGGGACAUCAUCUGCUGACAAGUAGCUCCUUUAGGCAGCAGUUUGAUUUUUGAUGCCCAUUGGUCCCACUCAUGGAAAAUGAAUUUGUGGAUUUUUGCAGACCAAGGUCGGUGGGAUCCCUGCCCGGCUGAAGGCCACAGGGUCCCCGCCGUUCCCCGGGGCCAUGCCCUCUGCUGGCCAGCAGGAGGGAGCCGUGGUGCAGUCGUGCCAGUGGAGACUGAAAGACGGGAUGGAUGGAGGCUGCCAGGCAGAGAGGGGAGGAGCUGCCAGCUGACAGAGAGCUGCCCAGAGUGGAGCAAAAAGAGACACAGAGAUGGCCCCAGACCACAGGGAUAAGCCUGAGUUCUUGCUGCUGUGCCUGCUCUCCAGCUUGGGAGCUGCAGCUCUCCAGAACCUGUGAAGCCCCUCUCAGCAGGACCCUCCUCUGUUGUGAACUCUGGCAGAUUGUGAGAACUGGAAAGUGGUCAAAUCACAGCCUCUUAGCACAGUCACUAAUGAAGUGUCUGCGCAGCCUGGUCUCAUGCCAGGCAGGGCCGUGCUGGUGCCAGUGCUUGGGACUAAGAAGUGGCACAGUUGCCUGAAGGGUUGCAGUGGGCUUUUAAGAAAAAAAAAUUCUGAGCAGUAAACCUUUGCUAGGCAGUAAAUGUCUACCGGACAAACAGGUCAGCCCACAGGGCAGCCACAACUAUCAGUGCUUGGGCAAAGCAUGGUAAAUCAUUCGCCCCGCUCCAAGGAGAUCAUCUGCUGUGAGCAGCUCCUGUCACUGGCCAGUCGCUCCAGCCUCUGAAACCAUGGGAUGGGGAGGAGCAGCCAGCCACAGUGUUGAGAAAUUAGAUUAAAUUAGCAGGAAUUAACUGUGAUGAGACACUUCUCCCAGGUGAAUUGGGAACACUGAAGAAAUGGAGCACUUUUCCAUCCUCCACCACAGCACUGGACAGGGAGAGGUUUCCGAUGCAGGCACAGCAUCCAGUCCUGGCUUCACAUGUCAUGUGAAUGUUAUGAUUCCCUGGCAAAAGCUGAAUUUGUCAGAAGAUUUGCUCUCAGCUUAUUCUUCUCAGACAAAAUCCUUCAAGAGGUGAUGCCACCCCCGUGACUUGCUUAUCCUUCACUCCUUUCAUUAAUUGCAACUUCUCCUGCAGUAGCUUUCUUAGAUCCAGGCAAAACCCAGCCAUUUUCUUCCCCUCAUUGAACUAGGGCUGAAUCCCAGCUGAGAACAGCUGGCUGCUGCACAGGGUCCCUGGGGAGGGGGACAGAUGUCAGUCCCUAGGGUGGGAACACUGGAGCACCUGCUGACCAAGCUGGCACUGUGGCUGGGGGAGUGCGGCUCAGCCAGCACCUGGCAGGGCGAUGCCACUGCCUGGCAGUGCUGCCAGCUGCACUUAGGGCUUCCCAAACCCUUCUCUCUCCCUCUGCCACUGCCACAUUUGAUUUUGCUAGCAAGGGCUGCAGGCCUGGUGGCUCUGCCGUACCUGGUGGCUCUGCUUUACCUGUGGCUCUGCUGGACCUGCCGCUCAGGUGCCUGGCUGCAGCACCAGCCCUUGCUGCACACUGGCCCUGCAGCCUCUCCAAACAAGCUUUGAAGGAUGCUUACACUAUUAACAGGGUAUAUUUAUAACUGUUUAUCUCUGUCAGUUGGGUGGAAAAUUGCCAGAUGUGCCGUUUGCCUUCAUUACACAGACAUUUCCUGCAUCAUCUGGAUCAGUUCACUAAGCAGCGUCACUGCCAGGGAAACGUCAUUGCUCGUGCACAGUGUGGAUAUUUGUGGGAUCUGCCUUGGUGAGUACAGGCAGCAACACCCUGGAGGCAAGUUUCCCCACUGUGCAGCUCUCUGGAUUUAGCCUUGUGGGAGGUAAAGAGUGCAGCGGAGCCGGGAGCUCCUCACUAGGGUCAGAGCAGCCAGGGCUGCCAGGGCCGGGCAGUGCAGUCAUGGAGAACAGUUCGCUGCCCCUGGGCUGGCUCACACUGCUGGAGCUGACACCCCCCCCACCGCUUUGGAGGCAGUAGGAAACCCACUGGAGAGGGCUGUUCCCCUGCUGUGAGGGGUGCUCAGGAGCUGCCAGAGGGUCCCUGCUGGGCAGAGGGUCCUGGGUAGCACAGAUGCCCCACAAGCAGGAGAGGUGACUCAGAGACAGCAAAUAUCCUUUCUUCUGACAGAGAAGGAGGCAAGAAGAUAAGAAUGGCUUAAACAGAAAGAAAUUGCCUCCAAAUAAAAUGUUUUUCCUCGUUUCCCAUGAUAUAGUGAAAUUUCUUCAUGGGCAGAUAGUCAGAGUAGAGUCCAUUACACUCCAUGGUUUUUGCCUUGAAAUAUAAAUAGCUGCAUCUCAUAUAAGUGUUUGUUAUGAGGAAAUGCGUGUGCCAGGAAAAGUUAGACAUUAAACCAUUAUUUCAUGCAGAAAGAUAUUGCUAAAGGGAGAGGAUUACUUACUAUAUUAAUUCUGUCCUUCAGCUACCAGUUUGUCUCUGCACAUAAUGACUUUAGUCACAAAUGUGGUGGUGUAAUAAUCCCAGUUACCUCAAUUCCAAUUUUGUUGGAGACUGCGCACACAGUGACCCUCCCUCUGGGCCCUGUGGGGACAAUGGGGCAGCAGGAGUGAGAGCAGAAAUUCCUGUUAACAUGUAGGUAAAUCUGGCAGCCUCUCUCCUUCCACAGGGUGCAUAUGGGCAAGUGCUGAUAUUUCGUAUCAGACCUUGCGUUACAACUAAAAAUUUCAAAACAUCCCUGUUAGUGGUAUAAAGUAGUAGUGAUGUGACCCUCAAACUAUUUCUUCUCAUUUCCAGUCUUGUACCUGGAGUCAGAAGAGCAUCUUAAAAGGGAUCAAGAAUUUUCUAAUCAGAUUUAUUUCCCAGCAAAUGACUCAUAGAGGGAAAGUUUCUGAGGUCAGCAAAACCAAAAAACCCCAAGCACGGUGUCCCAGGAAAGCUGGGAGGUGACAGCAUCAGUUUGUUUAUUUGUUUCUGCCUGGACUGAGUAGGAUGUCACAGGCUGUUGGCACAGGGCACUGCAGGGCCCAAGGUCACGGGCACCAGUGCACAGGGAGGCAGCGGCCGAGGGCAGGGUUAUUCCUGCUGACAAAGCUGGAACGGGUCACUGUGGUGUUGCAACCUGCCCAGCUGACUGAUCCCCACACUGCUGCCCUCCUGGUCCCAGGGUAUGAGAGGUGAUGGCAGAGCUCUUGGCUGACACUCUGGGUCCUGUGUUUGCUGACGCAGGUGCAGAAUGCAGAGCUGCUGCACAGAGGAACGGGAACAGCAGUGAGCAGCAGGGUCUGAUACCACCAUGUGAUCAGAGCCCAUCUGGGGCACAGCAAACCCAAAAUGAUAGCAUUUGGGUUCUCGGAGGAGUAAGAGUGGUCAGUAGAACUGCCUCCUUGGACAGCCAGAGGGCAGACUGACCUGCUGAGGAGCCUGGCUGGCAGGGUUCCUUGGGAGGCAGUCCUGAAGAGCUCAGGAUGCCUCCAGGGAUCUACAGGCCUGUCAGUCCGACCUUGGUGUCAGGGAAGCUUAUGGAGCAGAUCGUCUUGAGUGUCAACACACAGCAUGUACAAGACAACCAGGGAAUCAGGCCCAGUUUAGACUGGAUAUUAGGAAAUAAUUUCUCCAUGGAAAGGGUUGUCCAGCCUGGUACAGGUUGCUCAGUGCAGUGAUGAAGUCACCAUCCCUGGAGGGACUUAGAAGCCAUGUAGAUGUGGCAGCUGGGGACACGUGGCGGCCUUGGCAGUGCCAGGGGAGUAGUUGGACUCAACGGUCUUAGAGGACUAUUCCAACCUAAACAAUUCAAAGAUUCUAUGAUGCCAUGUAGUAAGUCAUCCUUAUUCAAAGGGCUCUGUUUGAAACCUGGCAUUGGCAUAUACAGAACAUGUUGCAUCUUUGCUGGUACCUCUUCAAUCUGGCUUGCAAGACAUCCUGGAGGACGUGACCUUGGAGGCAGGCAGAAUAUCGAACCUGCAUAAUCUGAGCAUCUCCACAUUGGUGGCAGCCUGUUGGGUACAGGGCAGUUAAUAAAUAAUGAGGAUGUCAAAGAUGACAGCAGGAAAAGUGGGAGCAGGUAGCAGCUUUGCAGCCAGCUCUCUGACAGCCGCUUGGCAACCUCCAAUUAGGAGGUGUGUGCUGGUGUUCAUCGCAGUGCAGAGCACCCGGCGCCUGCUCCCGGGAGCCAAGAUGCAGCACUGGGGCAGCCUGCGGCACUGCACUGGCUGGACACGCUCCCGAGGGCAUGGGGAACUGGUGAACACUUUGAAGAGCAAAUCCCAGGAGGCAGCGGGAGGCUCCCAGCUACAGCAUUGCAGAGAUACAGGGCAGCGGCUGCCACGAGAGCUGCGCUCGCUGCCCUCUGACAGGGUGGGCCAAGGGGGGUAGAAUCCUGCUCGGAGCAGAGACUGAGGCGUUGCAAGAGACAGCUGGAUCAGCUGAAUAUGGAACUCGUUUCUCGGGGCUUGGGGGAGAGGAGUACACUGGCCUCAGUGCCACGUUAAGGCGCGGAUGCUGCCGGGGCACCUCCUCAGGACACUAGUCCCUGCUCACAGGUGUAUCCUUCAAGGGCCGAAUUAUACCACACCACAACUCAAAGAUUAGGACCCUGAGGUGUAAUUGAUCUUCCGAUGGCUUUUUAAACAUCUGGUGAGAAGGGGCUGCUUUCCAAACAGCAAAGUCUACACCAAAACGAUCUUGAUUUGAAUAAGUAUUCCAUCCCUGUUUGGUAAAUAUACCCAGUGUUAAUGGUGCUUAAUGGUGCCUGUAAUUGGUGUCUAAAGUUAUUUAAAAGUAAAUUUACCAGAAAAUAAUUAGCAAUUUUAUAGUUCACUACUUCCUAAUCUUGUUGAUAAAAGUUUUUCCGUGGUUUUUAUCAGAUGACACAAUAGGGCUCUGCUGCGAAAUAACCUUUUUCAAAUGAGCAGGAAAUUGUGCACACAAAAUAAGAUUAAAAAAAUUUCCUCCUAAUUUCUUUGCCUGGCAGCCAGCCCUCUCUCUCCUUUUAUUAUCCACUGACUUAUCCUUAAUCAGCAACUGAAACUUCCCAGGCAUUGCUUGGGGAUUUGUUCUUUGUGACCUUGGGAGGUGCACCCCAAGCUGCAAAGUCAGUGAGGAAAGCUGUCCCCCACUGCAGGGACAAACCUCACUGCAGGACACACGGGCUGGCCAAGGUGGUCCUGGUCCUCCUCCUGGUCCUGGCUGCAGUAUGGCCCUUUUGGCAGUGGUGGAGCUGUGGCCCAUGGGGCAGGAAGGGGCAGCCAGCUGGGCUGGCAGGUGGCAGAUCAUGGCCAGGGCUGUCCUGUCGCGGCUCCCACUCAUGGGGUGUUGGUGCUGCUGAGGGGGUCCAAGAGAAACGGAGUCGAGAAAUGCAGCUGCUACAACGAUUUAUUGUCUAGUGCUGUGGGUUCCAGGGUUCAGUUCCAGACGGUCAUGUCGUUCAGGUACAGAGACACCGACCGACAGAGACGCAUUUGGGAGGAGGCGACAGCACAGCAGGUUGGGUUCAGAACAGAUCAACUCUCCAUUUUCAGUCUCUGAACCAGAAAGUACCAGCUUUUCCAGAACAAUCAAUCGCCCAGUCUGUAUAUAAAAUUAAAUAUAAUUUAUGCUUUGCUAAUUGAAACCAAAUACAAAAUUCAAUUUCCUGUGUAUUCUAAUGCUGACAUUUGAAUAGUUUAAAAAAAAAGGUGUUACUAACCUGACUCUCGUUUGGCACACCACUCUCCAGCCAUAUAGAAAAUAAUUCUCCCUCCAGCCCUGGUGACAGUGCAGCAGCCAUGGCGUGCAUUUCAGAAGAACAAAACAGAAUAACCUCCCCCAGUCCCUGUGCCCCCAGCCCACCCCAGAGUGCCUGGUGUGUACCUCAGGAAAGGGUUGGGGGCAGGGGAGUCCUAUCCCACCAUGCUGAAGUGGUUGGUGUCCAUGGGGCAGCCGCUCAGGGCAGGGGAGCGGGGUCUCCUCUCCCACUGGGCACACAUCAGCUCCUGCCAAGCUGGAGAUGACAUCUGGUAUAAAAAAUAAACCUCUGAAUAUAUGGCAGAAAUAAUAGGAGUGGAUGUGGGGUGGCAGGCGGGAGAGGCGCAGUGGGCACAGCGUCUCCCCGGCCCACCCAAGAACCAUCGUCCCCUGGGGCUGAGCCCCUCUGAUGGGCAGCCAGGGCCACCAGUCCACCACCUCCACUGUCCGCCAGGGCCAGCCCAACACUGUGCCAGGACUGCAGCAUGCUGGACACAGGCAGAGAUUCCUGGAUAUCCCUCUGGUGACAGGAACAUUGGGCCUGGAGCUCCUCAUCUUCCAAUAAGUAUCUUGCACCAAAUCCAAAUUAUGCAACAACAGGUUUAGUUCAGGACCUGUUCUGACAUUUUAAUAAUAUGUGAAGCACUGUAAAAUUAUUCCUAUUACAUACUUCUAAUUUUCCUGUAAUAAUUUGGAAGUUUGUGGUUUUCUGAAAACUGUGCUAUGUCAGGAGCUGAUUUUAAAUCUGACCAGGCUGAUGGGAACUGACGUGACAUCAGCAGGGACCUUGUGGUGCCCCUCCAGCAUGGCCCGUGCAGUAAAUUGUCUGAAUGGCUUCAGCUUUUAUCAUCCAAUACAAGGCACCACUUCACGGUGUAAUGAACCACACGACAGGCCCUGGAACCCCAAGUAGGUUCAGCUUGUCACCCAGUGCAACGCUGAUUUCAUCUGGUUAGCUGGAGCCGUAGGGAGUUCUACAUUAAUCAGAGCUGAGUCCUGGUUCUCCUGCAGCAAUCCCGCUCUCCAUGCUGCCAGGGACCUGCUGUCCAACAGCACGGAGCUUGCAUGUCAUUACAUCCCACCCUGGAGGCAUCUGUAGCCCUCAUCAGAGCAAAGGGAGCAGCCGGCAGUAUCCAAGCGGGUGAGGGACCGUUUCAGCAGCUCUGUGUUUCUUCCCCAUUGUUCUCCCUCUGCCUGUUCUCUCUCUCAUUUUCCUCAGCGAUGGAGGUGGAACCCUGCAGCUGUGUUGAAGCACUGCUCCUGCUCUCUGCUGGGCCCAGCAAGCAGCUCCCAUGGCGUUGGGAGGAUCCAGCUGGGAUAUAGGUUUAGUCGACAAUUUCUACCAGGAUUUGCAAAUUUAGUUGACUUGGCCGUUUCCACUAGAAAGCACAGGUUUUGUGUGCUGAGCAGUGCUUGCCCUGGGAAUUAAUUGCUGUUUUGUAAUUCUGAAGUAUGAUGAAGGCUGCUUCCCUGUUCUGCAACCCCAGCUGUCCACAGCAAGCAGCAGGGAUUGCAUUUUCAAGGUGCAAAUGAACAGCAGUGCCAGGGGUCCCAAUGGUCAGACCCUGUGCUGGGGCUGUCCUCAGACCUCUGCCCUGCAGCCACCCCCGGGAACGCCCGGCUCUGAACCGUGAGCAGGGCACGGCAUGGCCUCACCAGGAGGUGCUGCACAGACAAGGUGUGGCUUCACGCUGUGCCUUGGCCGGGCACUGGGAGCCUGGCUUGCUCCUGGAAACCCGGGGAAUGUUCUUUCAGCUUCUAGGAGGGUGAGAGUCUGGGGGGAUCCCAGUUCUGACCUCACUGAGCAUCCCAGCAAAGCAGGAACAACUCUCUUCCAACAGUGGAGAUGUACCAGUCGGAGGAGAACUGGGCCCAGGUGUUUGUGGCACUUGGUAAAUUCUAGUUUUAGUGCAACAAGUAAUUGAAACAUGUGGUGCAAAUGAAGUUCCUGUACAUAGUUCCAUUGCAGCAUAACUGGCUUCAUUCCUUCCACACACUAAGAGCAGUGUGCAUAUGAGUGCACACGGUGUGAAUUUACCAGACUUGAUGCCGUUGUUUGGGAAAAACUAAAAUCCAGGGCAGGAGAAAUCAAAUAUAUGGGUUUGUCCCAGUGCUGGGUUUUGGGAGCUGCCCUCCCACCCAGUUCACUGUGGCAGGAAGCCUGGUCCUGCCUGCCUGGCGGCAAGGGGGACACCAGCAGUGAAAUGUCAACACAAAGUACCCCAUCACCCCAAGGAGCCCUGCUCCCUCUGCCUCCUCCUCCUCCCACCCACCCUUGACCCCCACUGUCGUGGUGGGGAGAGCCCGAGAGCAGCCCGAGGUGACAAGCCACUGCAGUUUCAGGAGUGGACACGCUGAGCAACUUUGGCUGCAGCCCAGACAGCACAAGAACCUGGAAUGCACAGGGUUGAGCCUCUGGCCCCGAGUGAGUUUUGAGUCUCAAAUGAUGACUCCCAUCUCAAAAAAAAAAAAAAAAAGGUUUUUUCCUGACCUUGUGUUUCUACUUAUCACUUUCUUCCUGCUCCCACUGGAAAUCUUGGCCCGUCAUUUGGUAAAACAUGACAUUGAAGGGUUUGUAAAAUUUCCGCAGUCUGUGGAUGACAUCUGGGUCUAUUUUGGGGUGAGUUCUACCCUUGGACUUGCCCAAGCACCGGGGAGCACUGCUGUCCUCUGGCUUCUUUAGACAGGGAAACCCCUUGGUUUUAUUAAAAUAAAAAUGCUUCUCUGUCACAAUCCUUUUGAGGCCUAGGAAGUCCUGGACUUUGGCCAUUUCCCCUGCUGGGUCAGUGAUGAGCCUCUCACCACUGACAAAAAGGAUCUGGGAGAGGGGGAAGUACUGGAGCCAGUUCUCCAAGUGCAGGGCAUAAAUCCCGAUGCGGAUUGCACUCCAAGAGGCGUCAAUCAGCCCCAGAGUCCGGUUCUUGAAGGCCAGCACCUCGAAGGUGGGGAUCUCCGGCUUCUUGGAGAGGGUCUGCGUGUAGUCCGAGAUGGCCCUGGUGACCGGGUUCCGCACCACCACGAUCAGCUUCGUGUCCUUGGCCAUGGAGUGAAUGCGCCUGGGGGCCUCAUUGGUCACGAAGUAGCUGGGGGUCUUCUCCAUGGUGAUCUGGCCAUCCAGCGUCUUGGGCAUCACAUUCCUGUGCAGAAACAGAGGAGGGGGUUAGUGAGGGGCCAGGCAGGGGUGGGCAUCCCAGCGUCCCUCCUGCCCUGUGCAAGUGUUGGCAGGAUGUUCAGGAGGAGGGAUGCUGUCACUCCCAUAGGUCCCACAGACCCAAACACUUCUGGCUUUGUUUCUUCUCAGCCCCUGGCCAUGGUGGGCACCUGAAAUGUUAAGUCAGCCUUGGUGACACAUUAUACAGGCAAUUUGCCAUAGGCAUACGUAGACCAAAGCUAAUUGACACUAAACCUGCACAAUACCUGCCUGUUCAGAAGCCAUCUGCUCCCAUUUGCUCAAUUAAGCCUAUUCAUUCCAGAGCUGCUGUACAGAGCAGCGCAGUUCGGAUUACACAGGACCUUUUUGUUAUGAUGACAUGCUUUUAAAUGUCUCAGCUAAUAAAACUUAAUACAGAAUAAGAUCCCUUGCUUCUAGUACAAUAAUUAAAUUUAUUUACUAUCUUG
Pipra filicauda (Wire-tailed manakin) is the source of this 11159-nucleotide long non-coding RNA. RefSeq lists it as uncharacterized. Lineage: Eukaryota; Metazoa; Chordata; Aves; Passeriformes; Pipridae. The transcript is spliced from 6 exons. The record is from RefSeq and is a predicted model, not a curated record.